UGUCGUGUAGAAUACAACAAUACAACUGUGAGUUUAAAUACAAAUAUUAUCUUCUAGACAAUAUACACACCCAAAUAAGUCCUCAUUAAUUAUUCAUAAACUAUUUUACAGAAAUAGUGAGGACAGCUAAAACAUCUUCCUAGAACCAUCACUCCAUACCCCGACUCGAUCCUGCUAUGUUCUCACCUCCUGAGAAGAAAAAUGGAACAAAAAGGAAAAGGGUGAGCUCAACUAGCCCAGUAAAGAAUAUUAUGACUAAGAUAAUAUACAACAAAUUAUCGUUAGUCUUCAACAGGGAAAAAUCUAAUAGAAUACAAUAGACAACAAGUUUUAGAUCAACAAAUGCAGCGGAAACAGCAAUCCAUUAGAAGAGUCACGUAGAGAAAGAAUUCUACUGUCUUCUAAGGUUUAAAA
RNAcentral lists this long non-coding RNA (414 nucleotides) under Panax ginseng (ginseng). Its description in RNAcentral is "long non-coding RNA (PGIN_LNC008627)". The record is from RNAcentral. Lineage: Eukaryota; Viridiplantae; Streptophyta; Magnoliopsida; Apiales; Araliaceae.